Molecule: non-coding RNA, 85 nt
Organism: Felis catus (domestic cat)
Lineage: Eukaryota; Metazoa; Chordata; Mammalia; Carnivora; Felidae
Source: Rfam
GCCUGGGUGGCUCAGUCGGUUGAGCGUCCAACUUCGGUUCAGGUCAUGAUCUCUCGGUUCGUGGGUUCGAACCCCACGUCGGGCU